Molecule: ribosomal RNA, 117 nt
Filed under: Opitutia bacterium SCGC AG-212-L18
Lineage: Bacteria; Pseudomonadati; Verrucomicrobiota; Opitutia
Source: RNAcentral
UCUGGUGACUAUAGGUGAGAGGAAACACCCGUUCCCAUUUCGAACACGGCCGUUAAGCUCUCAACCGCCGAUGGUAGUACGACCCCGUUGUCGUGUGAGAGUAGGUUAUUGCCAGGU